UGAGGAAUAUUGGUCAAUGGACGCAAGUCUGAACCAGCCAUGUCGCGUGCAGGAUGACUGCCCUAUGGGUUGUAAACUGCUUUUAUACGGGAAGAAAGGUAUCUACGUGUAGAUAUUUGCCGGUACCGUACGAAUAAGCAUCGGCUAACUCCGUGCCAGCAGCCGCGGUAAUACGGAGGAUGCGAGCGUUAUCCGGAUUUAUUGGGUUUAAAGGGUGCGUAGGCGGAAUGGUAAGUCAGCGGUGAAAUACUGCAGCUCAACUGUAGAACUGCCGUUGAUACUGUCAUUCUUGAGUAUAGAUGAGGUAGGCGGAAUGAGUAGUGUAGCGGUGAAAUGCAUAGAUAUUACUCAGAACACCAAUUGCGAAGGCAGCUUACUAAACUAUAACUGACGCUGAAGCACGAAAGCGUGGGUAUCAAACAGGAUUAGAUACCCCCGUAGUC
Molecule: ribosomal RNA, 443 nt
Filed under: uncultured bacterium
Lineage: Bacteria
Description: bacterial SSU rRNA
Rfam family: Bacterial small subunit ribosomal RNA
Source: RNAcentral